CAAACGUCCUUACGGACACGUGUGGGCAAGUGAGUGGAGAGAGGAGAAGUGGCUUCGUCCUCUUCGUCUGGUUUCUUCUUUCUCUCUCUCAAAACGAGACCUCUCGCGAUCAAUUGCAAUUUGUUUGGUGCUAGUUUAUCAAUUUUGAUUUGUUUCUGGCCAUUGAUUCUUCGUUCUGUUUCUUGGAUGGGUCAAAUCCGUUUUGAUUUAUUCUGUGGAGACUGGAGAGAGACAUGAAGGGGGUUCAUCGAUACAAUUGCAAUAGAGUUCUGGAUGGUUUAAACGCCACAAGACUGAUCCGUUCCUAUGAAGAAUCAGGGAACUCAGAAGCUCUUUAUACAACGAGUUUAAAACAUCAAAAGGAGCUGUUGGCAUCAUCCUCGCCAAUAAACUUGUGAUGGGAAGAGUUGGAUUCAAUUUCCCAAUCUUUCUGACGUUGAUUCACUAUGCCGUUGCUUGGAGACUUCUAGCUUUUUUCAAAUCUCUCUCACUUCUUCCUAUGUCUCCUCCAUCAAAAAGCACAUCUUUCUCCUCUCUUUUCUCUCUUGGAGCUGUCAUGGCCUUUGCUUCUGGUCUCGCCAAUACCAGCCUCAAACACAACAGUGUUGGUUUCUACCAGAUGGCUAAGAUCGCUGUGACACCAACCAUCGUCCUUGCAGAGUUUGUACUCUUCAAGAAAACCAUUUCUUCCACAAAGGUUUUUGCUGGAUUUGCAAUCCUCGUCUCGGCUCUUCUUGAUUUUCUUCUCCAAUGGUCCGGUGCACUCGCGCUCGGGUUAAUCUUUUGGUUCGUUGCUUAGUCUUGAAGUGUAUUACUUUGCUUCUGCUUCACUUUUUUGUAUUCAUCAUCUAUGAUCAGAACAGAAACCACAUUUCACAUUUCUCAGUACAUGUAGCUUUCUUUCUAUAAUUUUUUGGUAGCCAUCACUGCAUUCAUAAUUUUUCAUAUAUAUUAGGGUCUGUUGACAAAAACAUCUGAUUUAUCUUAGGAUCUCUUUAUUACUUGUCAUACAAGUUUGUGCAAUUUAAUUUAUUAAGAAACAUCUAAAAGUCCUACCAAUAA
Raphanus sativus (radish) is the source of this 1062-nucleotide long non-coding RNA. RefSeq lists it as uncharacterized. The record is from RefSeq and is a predicted model, not a curated record. The transcript has 4 exons. NCBI's taxonomy places the organism in Eukaryota, Viridiplantae, Streptophyta, Magnoliopsida, Brassicales, Brassicaceae.